This 498-nucleotide ribosomal RNA is filed under the name uncultured bacterium. RNAcentral describes it as "partial 16S ribosomal RNA". It matches the Rfam family "Bacterial small subunit ribosomal RNA", at positions 29 to 523 of the family's 1533-position model. The record is from RNAcentral.
AGUGAACGCUGGCGGUAGGCCUAACACAUGCAAGUCGAACGGUAACAGGUCUUCGGAUGCUGACGAGUGGCGAACGGGUGAGUAAUACAUCGGAACGUGCCUAGUAGUGGGGGAUAACUACUCGAGAGAGUGGCUAAUACCGCAUGAGAUCUACGGAUGAAAGCAGGGGAUCGCAAGACCUUGUGCUACUAGAGCGGCCGAUGGCAGAUUAGGUAGUUGGUGGGAUAAAAGCUUACCAAGCCGACGAUCUGUAGCUGGUCUGAGAGGACGAUCAGCCACACUGGGACUGAGACACGGCCCAGACUCCUACGGGAGGCAGCAGUGGGGAAUUUUGGACAAUGGGCGCAAGCCUGAUCCAGCAAUGCCGCGUGCAGGAUGAAGGCCUUCGGGUUGUAAACUGCUUUUGUACGGAACGAAAAGCCCUGGGUUAAUACCCUGGGGUCAUGACUGUACCGCAAGAAUAAGCACCGGCUAACUACGUGCCAGCAGCCGCCGUAA